AUAACUCACUGCAACCUCAGAAUCCUGGGCUCAAGCGAUCCUCCUGCCUCAACCUCCCAAGUAGCUGGGACUACAAUCCCACACCAAAACACCCAGGAUCUGAAUCAAGGACUUUAGAAUUCGUCAGAGCUGGGUUCCUAUCCCAUUUCCCACCCUUGCUGUUUGCUCUGAGACCUAGUUCAAGAACUACACCAGACAGAUAACAGUGUAAAAGACAGAGAUGGCCCCGUCCUCAUCAACUUUCAUGGGCCACGGACAAUUACUCUGACUGUGUGCGGGGGUCAAGGAGGAAGCAGGGUCAAGCACAAGACCUAAAGAAUGAGUGGGGUGAACUUCAUAAAAACUGUGGAUGGGAGGAAGUACAAGUCAUGACCAGCAAAUGGAACUGCACAAGUGUCUGAAAAGAACAAGUAAUAUGAUACACUUGAGGAACUGAAAGACAUCCAAAAGGAAGAGAGGAGGACAGCAGAGCUAUCCUGAUGGAAGAAGUGAAAGAGAGUGGGUAGGAGGCAGGAAGAAGUGGUCAAGAACCGGCUGCAGAGCCAACUUGAAGCCUACAAACAAAAAGCAUGACAGUUUUAGCACCUCAGAUGGAGAAUCUGUUAAUAAAUUGGUUUGCCACCUGCCUGCUCUCAACCUUUCACCACUGACUGUGGAUCUUGUGUUCUCUCCAUUGCUGAUUAAUAUUUAACUUAAAAAUAAA
Microcebus murinus (gray mouse lemur) is the source of this 703-nucleotide non-coding RNA. The record is from RefSeq and is a predicted model, not a curated record. Lineage: Eukaryota; Metazoa; Chordata; Mammalia; Primates; Cheirogaleidae.